UCAAAGGCCCUUUUUAGGGCCAACCACACAGUCCUCAGAAGAGCUG
Non-coding RNA from Sus scrofa (pig), 46 nucleotides. The record is from Rfam. NCBI's taxonomy places the organism in Eukaryota, Metazoa, Chordata, Mammalia, Artiodactyla, Suidae.